This 117-nucleotide non-coding RNA is filed under the name Gorilla gorilla gorilla (western lowland gorilla). The record is from Rfam by way of RNAcentral. Lineage: Eukaryota; Metazoa; Chordata; Mammalia; Primates; Hominidae.
GCCAAGUGUGGUGGCUCACACCUGUAAUCCCAGCACUUUGGGAGGCUGAGGUGGGAGGAUCACUUGAGCCCAGGAGUUCGAGAUCAGCCUGAGCAACAUAGUGAGAUCCCAUCUCUA